AUCCUGGCUCAGGAUGAACGCUAGCUACAGGCUUAACACAUGCAAGUCGAGGGGCAGCAUGGUCUUAGCUUGCUAAGACUGAUGGCGACCGGCGCACGGGUGAGUAACACGUAUCCAACCUGGCCCAUACUCGGGUAUAGCCUCUCGAAAGGGAGAUUAAUCCCCGAUGUUGUUGUUAUGUCGCAUGAUGUUUCAACCAAGAAUUUCGGUAUGGGAUGGGGAUGCGUUCCAUUAGCUUGUUGGCGGGUAACGGCCCACCAAGGCGACGAUGGAUAGGGGUUCUGAGAGGAAGGUCCCCCACACUGGAACUGAGACACGGUCCAGACUCCUACGGGAGGCAGCAGUGAGGAAUAUUGGUCAAUGGGCGUAAGCCUGAACCAGCCAAGUAGCGUGAAGGAUGACUGCCCUACGGGUUGUAAACUUCUUUUGUAUGGGAAUAAAGUUCAGUACGUGUACUGUUUUGUAUGUACCAUACGAAUAAGCAUCGGCUAAUUCCGUG
This 499-nucleotide ribosomal RNA is filed under the name uncultured bacterium. Its description in RNAcentral is "bacterial SSU rRNA". It matches the Rfam family "Bacterial small subunit ribosomal RNA", at positions 16 to 507 of the family's 1533-position model. The record is from RNAcentral.